RNAcentral lists this transfer RNA (74 nucleotides) under Acidobacteriota bacterium. Its description in RNAcentral is "tRNA-Gln". It matches the Rfam family "tRNA". From Rfam's summary of the family: Transfer RNA (tRNA) molecules are approximately 80 nucleotides in length. Their secondary structure includes four short double-helical elements and three loops (D, anti-codon, and T loops). Lineage: Bacteria; Pseudomonadati; Acidobacteriota. The record is from RNAcentral.
UGGGGAGUCGUCCAAUGGCAGGACACGCGGCUCUGGACCGCGGAAUCGGGGUUCAAAUCCCUGCUCCCCAGCCA